This 253-nucleotide ribosomal RNA is filed under the name uncultured bacterium. RNAcentral's name for it is "partial 16S ribosomal RNA". It matches the Rfam family "Bacterial small subunit ribosomal RNA", at positions 524 to 776 of the family's 1533-position model. The record is from RNAcentral.
UACGGAGGGUGCGAGCGUUAAUCGGAAUUACUGGGCGUAAAGCGCGCGUAGGCGGUUUGUUAAGUCAGCUGUGAAAGCCCCGGGCUCAACCUGGGAACUGCAGUUGAUACUGGCCGACUGGAGUACGAGAGAGGGGGGUAGAAUUCCAUGUGUAGCGGUGAAAUGCGCAGAUAUCAGGAAGAACACCAAUGGCGAAGGCAGCUCUCUGGGACGGUACUGACGCUGAGACGCGAAAGCGUGGGGAGCGAACAGG